RNAcentral lists this ribosomal RNA (972 nucleotides) under uncultured Cryobacterium sp. RNAcentral's name for it is "bacterial SSU rRNA". It matches the Rfam family "Bacterial small subunit ribosomal RNA", at positions 423 to 1394 of the family's 1533-position model. Lineage: Bacteria; Bacillati; Actinomycetota; Actinomycetes; Micrococcales; Microbacteriaceae. The record is from RNAcentral.
UUGUAAACCUCUUUUAGUAGGGAAGAAGCGACUGGGUUUUCCUGGGAGUGACGGUACCUGCAGAAAAAGCACCGGCUAACUACGUGCCAGCAGCCGCGGUAAUACGUAGGGUGCAAGCGUUGUCCGGAAUUAUUGGGCGUAAAGAGUCGUAGGCGGUUUGUCGCGUCUGCUGUGAAAACCCGAGGCUCAACCUCGGGCCUGCAGUGGGUACGGGCAGACUAGAGUGCGGUAGGGGAGAUUGGAAUUCCUGGUGUAGCGGUGGAAUGCGCAGAUAUCAGGAGGAACACCAAUGGCGAAGGCAGAUCUCUGGGCCGUAACUGACGCUGAGGAGCGAAAGCAUGGGGAGCGAACAGGAUUAGAUACCCUGGUAGUCCAUGCCGUAAACGUUGGGAACUAGAUGUGGGGACCAUUCCACGGUCUCCGUGUCGCAGCUAACGCAUUAAGUUCCCCGCCUGGGGAGUACGGCCGCAAGGCUAAAACUCAAAGGAAUUGACGGGGGCCCGCACAAGCGGCGGAGCAUGCGGAUUAAUUCGAUGCAACGCGAAGAACCUUACCAAGGCUUGACAUAUACCGGAAACGGCUGGAAACAGUCGCCCCGCAAGGUCGGUAUACAGGUGGUGCAUGGUUGUCGUCAGCUCGUGUCGUGAGAUGUUGGGUUAAGUCCCGCAACGAGCGCAACCCUCGUCCUAUGUUGCCAGCACGUAAUGGUGGGAACUCAUGGGAUACUGCCGGGGUCAACUCGGAGGAAGGUGGGGAUGACGUCAAAUUAUCAUGCCCCUUAUGUCUUGGGCUUCACGCAUGCUACGAUGGCCGGUACAAAGGGCUGCGAUACCGCAAGGUGGAGCGAAUCCCAAAAAGCCGGUCUCAGUUCGGAUUGAGGUCUGCAACUCGACCUCAUGAAGUCGGAGUCGCUAGUAAUCGCAGAUCAGCAACGCUGCGGUGAAUACGUUCCCGGGCCUUGUACACACCGCC